RNAcentral lists this ribosomal RNA (468 nucleotides) under uncultured bacterium. RNAcentral describes it as "partial 16S ribosomal RNA". It matches the Rfam family "Bacterial small subunit ribosomal RNA", at positions 28 to 507 of the family's 1533-position model. The record is from RNAcentral.
GACGAACGCUGGCGGCGUGCUUAACACAUGCAAGUCGAACGGAAAGGCCCUGCUUUUGUGGGGUGCUCGAGUGGCGAACGGGUGAGUAACACGUGAGUAACCUGCCCUUGACUUUGGGAUAACUUCAGGAAACUGGGGCUAAUACCGGAUAGGAGCUCCUGCUGCAUGGUGGGGGUUGGAAAGUUUCGGCGGUUGGGGAUGGACUCGCGGCUUAUCAGCUUGUUGGCGGGGUAGUGGCUUACCAAGGCUUUGACGGGUAGCCGGCCUGAGAGGGUGACCGGCCACAUUGGGACUGGGAUACGGCCCAGACUCCUACGGGGGGCAGCAGUGGGGAAUAUUGCACAAUGGGCGGAAGCCUGAUGCAGCAACGCCGCGUGCGGGAUGACGGCCUUCGGGUUGUAAACCGCUUUCGCCUGUGACGAAGCGUGAGUGACGGUAAUGGGUAAAGAAGCACCAGCUAACUACGUG